CUCCAGUGAUGACCUCUCAUUAGUGCCGCGUGUCUGGGCCACUGAUCUCCUGUGAUGGAGCUGAGGUUCUGAGGAG
Trichosurus vulpecula (common brushtail) is the source of this 76-nucleotide small nucleolar RNA. RefSeq annotates it as small nucleolar RNA SNORD66. The transcript has a single exon. Lineage: Eukaryota; Metazoa; Chordata; Mammalia; Diprotodontia; Phalangeridae. The record is from RefSeq and is a predicted model, not a curated record.